Molecule: long non-coding RNA, 2231 nt
Filed under: Sorghum bicolor (sorghum)
Lineage: Eukaryota; Viridiplantae; Streptophyta; Magnoliopsida; Poales; Poaceae
Description: long non-coding RNA (SBIC_LNC001801)
Source: RNAcentral
CAUCAUCCUCUUUUCGCAUCCAGAGACUCAGGAGCUGCUCCCUCUCUCGUUGGGCUUAUAACCUCUACUACAAACACUUUGGUGCAAAACUAAUUAUACAAAAUUUCUUUCUCCGACUAGACAUAGAGCGCUCCUUGCCCAAACUAGUAUAAAUCACUUAUAUCCUUCUUGCACACCAUCCGAAUCAGGAGCACCCAGAUCACUCCGACUUCUAUGGUAUGCCCUACAAGCACUACACAAGCUAAUAUAAUCUGAUCCUUAGGGUUUAUUUUAUUUGCAUAUACUCAUUUUUAUUUCAUUUCAUACGUGUCGGAGUGGAUUGAGGUGGAUGCCAAACAAGACCUUAGGAACGUCAAAAUAGCCAAUGUUUAAGUCUCAGCAUUAGUUACUAAUUAGUACCGUUUUCAUUAUUUAUUCGUUCUCAUACAGAUCUCCUGGAUGCAGAAACAUACAAAAGCUACAUCAAAAUCAAACGGCUAUUUUGUUCUCCUUUUGCUCAUUAGGAGGGCUCUCCAGUUGCCUGUUCAUGUCAUGAGAUGUAUCCGCUUCGUCCAUAUUUCUGAACCCAAGCUCUGACAUGUCUUGCUUCGCCAUCAGGUUUCUGAGGAAGAUAGAUUCAGAGAUUUUUAGAACCACACAUGGAAACAAUGGUUUAAAACCGUAACAGAAACACAAGUUGCAUCUAGCAGCAAGAACUCAACUUGGUGCCAAUAGGAAUUUAGAAGAUACAACAACAAAAAUGUUAUUUCUCAAAACAAAAUCAGUACAUGCACUAAAAGUAGCCUAAAUCUGUCAGCCAUUCAGCAGUGUUUUUCUCCCACAACAAAUCAGCCAACAGUACUUUCUGUCAUAGCUUAUCAGCCAAACGAAUAAGAAUCUUGAGGAGCAUGUUCACUAAAUCUCGAUCUAUUAAGUGUCCAAAAGAAACAUAUUUGCCAACAAAAAAAGAUGUUGAAAGCAUUUGAUGCAGGAAAGAGAAUUAGUUUCAACCAAAAGGUCAACUAUCUAGAAACUUGGAUAGUCAUACAUAUUAAUAUGUUUCCAUUGCUUCCUUGGGCCAUUAAUUUUAUAGAAUGGAGCAUGUUAAGUGCAAAAGCUAAAUUACCCCUAGGUUUAGAAAAUAUAGAUAAGCCAAAAAUGAGGUUAUGAACCUAUAUCAUCAAAACAUUUACAGAUCUGAAGUUAGAAUAUAGACAAUAGGAACUAAGCAUACUAACCUCUCCAUUCGACAUUCCAGAUACUUCUUUGAGAACUGCCGACAUUUUUCAGAUUGGAACCCUGUAGAUUUCAGGCAGGCAAGAUAGUCUUUCUUCUCCUGUUAGAACAGUUAUUACUAUCAAUAUUCAUAUAACAAGUAUACAAUGGCAGUGGUAACUGAUGGAAUUCGUCAGCCUUACCAAGUCACACUCAUGUAAGUGAUCCAAUGGGAACACACCUUUUUCAGGAGGUACAGGCCUCACCCCCCUAUUUCCACCAAAAGCACCACCUGUGAAAAAUCACAAAGUUAUUCAGAUCUUCAUAUAAAUAUAAAUUAAAAAUAGUAAAUAUUAAAUAAGAAGCAAUUUUAGGAGGUUAACCCUAGGCUGGUACACCUCCUUACCAGCACUCAUUUGCCAAAAAGUUCAGACAAAUGCCUCCAGGAAUAAAGUCCGAUCUCUAACAGUUGUGUGGACAAUGCUCAGCACUGCAACAGCAUAAUAAACAGGUCAGCAAUGCCAGUAGCAUGUGUAGCAUUCAUACAGUUCAUUUGAUAAGCACGUUAUAAUUGAUAAGUGCAGUGUAAAAAUCCAUUGAUUGAAACCUCGGCAUGGUAACCUUACAUACCAUGUUUAUACCUAUAACUAUUCUAAACAAACUGCCAGACAACAUUUUAGUGUACUACCAGAAUAUCAACAAGUAUCACAAAGUCAAGCGAUAGAAUAGUCAAUAUAAGCAUUUUGUACUUAUGACGUUUGCAAAUUGCAACAACAAACAAGCCCCCAGAUGCAUGAAGCUCUGAAGAUGCAUUUGCAUGAGAGUGGCCAAUGAACCAGCAGGUGUAUCAGGAUUUCAGAACAUACAGAUGCAUCUAGAUGUGGAUCUACAAAAUAGCGGUGUGACUUUGGGUGCAUUAGUGCAGUUAAUUUUCUUGCGCCACCAUUUAUAAGCAUCCAAAUCACUGGCAGGACAAAUCAAAGGCUACAUACCGAUAAACAACAAACGUACAACAAAUCAAGAACCGGGGGUGAACU